CGGGUGGUUACAGAGGCUUCACUGGAGAGAGUGGCGCCACCAAGCGCCUUUCCUGAGAACUACACUCAGCAUCUCAGCCUCAAACCACCUGAGCUUUGAAUUGUGUCUGUGAGUUAUCUGGACUUUAUCUCAAUUUAUUUUGUGUAUCCGUUGCCACGGUGUGUGGUAAGGUAUCAGAAGAACCGAAAAGGUGGUUUCUGGGGGAUCUGGAUCAGAAAUGUUUCCAUAUACAUGAACAGUAAUCGCUCCUUCAUAGGAAGACUUUUCCGCUUACAGUGGGCAUGCUCUACUUUGGAAGACCAGGGAACCUGUAUGUGGACUGUGCCUCCCUACGAGGAUCCACCAGUCCGGGGCACGUGGGUGAGACUGGAGGGCUGGAGGAGGUAGAAGGGCCUGCUCCUUGCUUGCUGAACAGUGCUGCGAGUGUCACACCAACAGCAAUUCUUUCUGGAAAUUUAAAAAUGGGCAGAGGAUCAGAAGAGACAUUUUUCCAAAGAAGACAUACAGAUGGCCAACAGGUGACAUCAAUACUUGGUGCUUCCUCUUUGGCUUUGUAUGGCAUGGUUAUCCCCACUCGAAGACCUACCUUACGAAGGAAAGGAGUGAUCAGAGAAACAGGAUGGAAACUAGAAGAGAGUCGUGUCCAGAUGCCCAGGAAGGAGAAUAUUUCUAGAAGGAAGCGAUGCGCCAUGUCAAAUGCUAGUGAAAGAUCCAGCAACGAGAGAUCUGAACAUGCUUAUUGGAUUUAGCAGCAGGUUUUAAUAAAGUGUUGGCAAACCUUUCAAUCAGUUUGGCUGUGAGAAGGGAAGGAAAAUAAAGUGCUGGAGCUGGAGACACAAUGAGACUAA
This 848-nucleotide long non-coding RNA is filed under the name Mustela putorius furo (domestic ferret). RNAcentral's name for it is "lncRNA (ENSMPUG00000031802.1)". The record is from RNAcentral. Lineage: Eukaryota; Metazoa; Chordata; Mammalia; Carnivora; Mustelidae.